RNAcentral lists this transfer RNA (71 nucleotides) under Loxodonta africana (African savanna elephant). It matches the Rfam family "tRNA". Rfam says of the family: Transfer RNA (tRNA) molecules are approximately 80 nucleotides in length. Their secondary structure includes four short double-helical elements and three loops (D, anti-codon, and T loops). Further hydrogen bonds mediate the characteristic L-shaped molecular structure. tRNAs have two regions of fundamental functional importance: the anti-codon, which is responsible for specific mRNA codon recognition, and the 3' end, to which the tRNAs corresponding amino acid is attached (by aminoacyl-tRNA synthetases). tRNAs cope with the degeneracy of the genetic code in two manners: having more than one tRNA (with a specific anti-codon) for a particular amino acid; and 'wobble' base-pairing, i.e. permitting non-standard base-pairing at the 3rd anti-codon position. Lineage: Eukaryota; Metazoa; Chordata; Mammalia; Proboscidea; Elephantidae. The record is from Rfam by way of RNAcentral.
GUCAUUGAGGUUUAGUGGUAGAAUUCUUGCCUCCCAUGCAGGAGACCCGGGUUUGAUUCCCAGCCAGUGCA